Molecule: ribosomal RNA, 1555 nt
Filed under: Streptococcus salivarius
Lineage: Bacteria; Bacillati; Bacillota; Bacilli; Lactobacillales; Streptococcaceae
Also listed under: 3 other names
Description: bacterial SSU rRNA
Rfam family: Bacterial small subunit ribosomal RNA
Source: RNAcentral
UUAAUGAGAGUUUGAUCCUGGCUCAGGACGAACGCUGGCGGCGUGCCUAAUACAUGCAAGUAGAACGCUGAAGAGAGGAGCUUGCUCUUCUUGGAUGAGUUGCGAACGGGUGAGUAACGCGUAGGUAACCUGCCUUGUAGCGGGGGAUAACUAUUGGAAACGAUAGCUAAUACCGCAUAACAAUGAAUGACACAUGUCAUUUAUUUGAAAGGGGCAAUUGCUCCACUACAAGAUGGACCUGCGUUGUAUUAGCUAGUAGGUGAGGUAACGGCUCACCUAGGCGACGAUACAUAGCCGACCUGAGAGGGUGAUCGGCCACACUGGGACUGAGACACGGCCCAGACUCCUACGGGAGGCAGCAGUAGGGAAUCUUCGGCAAUGGGGGCAACCCUGACCGAGCAACGCCGCGUGAGUGAAGAAGGUUUUCGGAUCGUAAAGCUCUGUUGUAAGUCAAGAACGAGUGUGAGAGUGGAAAGUUCACACUGUGACGGUAGCUUACCAGAAAGGGACGGCUAACUACGUGCCAGCAGCCGCGGUAAUACGUAGGUCCCGAGCGUUGUCCGGAUUUAUUGGGCGUAAAGCGAGCGCAGGCGGUUUGAUAAGUCUGAAGUUAAAGGCUGUGGCUCAACCAUAGUUCGCUUUGGAAACUGUCAAACUUGAGUGCAGAAGGGGAGAGUGGAAUUCCAUGUGUAGCGGUGAAAUGCGUAGAUAUAUGGAGGAACACCGGUGGCGAAAGCGGCUCUCUGGUCUGUAACUGACGCUGAGGCUCGAAAGCGUGGGGAGCGAACAGGAUUAGAUACCCUGGUAGUCCACGCCGUAAACGAUGAGUGCUAGGUGUUGGAUCCUUUCCGGGAUUCAGUGCCGCAGCUAACGCAUUAAGCACUCCGCCUGGGGAGUACGACCGCAAGGUUGAAACUCAAAGGAAUUGACGGGGGCCCGCACAAGCGGUGGAGCAUGUGGUUUAAUUCGAAGCAACGCGAAGAACCUUACCAGGUCUUGACAUCCCGAUGCUAUUUCUAGAGAUAGAAAGUUACUUCGGUACAUCGGUGACAGGUGGUGCAUGGUUGUCGUCAGCUCGUGUCGUGAGAUGUUGGGUUAAGUCCCGCAACGAGCGCAACCCCUAUUGUUAGUUGCCAUCAUUCAGUUGGGCACUCUAGCGAGACUGCCGGUAAUAAACCGGAGGAAGGUGGGGAUGACGUCAAAUCAUCAUGCCCCUUAUGACCUGGGCUACACACGUGCUACAAUGGUUGGUACAACGAGUUGCGAGUCGGUGACGGCAAGCUAAUCUCUUAAAGCCAAUCUCAGUUCGGAUUGUAGGCUGCAACUCGCCUACAUGAAGUCGGAAUCGCUAGUAAUCGCGGAUCAGCACGCCGCGGUGAAUACGUUCCCGGGCCUUGUACACACCGCCCGUCACACCACGAGAGUUUGUAACACCCGAAGUCGGUGAGGUAACCUUUUGGAGCCAGCCGCCUAAGGUGGGAUAGAUGAUUGGGGUGAAGUCGUAACAAGGUAGCCGUAUCGGAAGGUGCGGCUGGAUCACCUCCUUUCUAAGGAA